ACUCAGCCUCACCCACGAGGAACUUAAUUUGUUAAUUAGUUCAAUCAGGUUUUAGAUAAGUUAAAACAAAAAAUGUGAUGUGGGAUCACCAGCACUGGUAUAGGAACCCAUGAAUUAAACAAAGUCAUUACUAAUUUGCUUACCCCCUUACAGAUCGGGCUACGUGAUUCAUCUCCUGUUGUGCUGACACACACAUGCAGUUCAUGUGUUGCAGGCACUGCCCUAUGCAACCACAUAGUGGCUUUGCUUUUUCAAACUGCACAUUUCUCUCAGCUCAGUGUGCCAGUAGUUCCUCCUGUGCACAGCUGUACUGAAACUGAACAGCGCUGGCACAAACCUCGGACAAUUGGUGUAAAGCCAGGACCAAUCAACAACAUGAUCACCUGUGCCAAAUCAAAAGUCUCAAGGCGUAGUUAGGAGUGGACUCUACAGGGGCAUGGUGGGCCCUUUACCGGAUCCAUGCAUGUUUAGAGUGGCAGAGGCUUAUGAAAAAUUCAGCCUUGAAGACAAGCCGCUGGUGACCACCAUGGGCAUGGACCUCAACAAGCCAGCUGUGCA
This is a long non-coding RNA of Trichomycterus rosablanca, 558 nucleotides long. RefSeq lists it as uncharacterized. The record is from RefSeq and is a predicted model, not a curated record. Lineage: Eukaryota; Metazoa; Chordata; Actinopteri; Siluriformes; Trichomycteridae. The transcript has 3 exons.